RNAcentral lists this ribosomal RNA (610 nucleotides) under Caulobacter sp. S881. RNAcentral describes it as "bacterial SSU rRNA". It matches the Rfam family "Bacterial small subunit ribosomal RNA", at positions 60 to 699 of the family's 1533-position model. Lineage: Bacteria; Pseudomonadati; Pseudomonadota; Alphaproteobacteria; Caulobacterales; Caulobacteraceae. The record is from RNAcentral.
AGUCAUGAGGUUGAUCCUGGCUCAGGAUUAUAUACCCUGGGAGUCAUGAGGUUGAACACUCACUCAGGAACGUGCCCUUUGGUUCGGAACAACUCAGGGAAACUUGAGCUAAUACCGGAUGUGCCCUUCGGGGGAAAGAUUUAUCGCCAUUGGAGCGGCCCGCGUCUGAUUAGCUAGUUGGUGGGGUAAAGGCCCACCAAGGCGACGAUCAGUAGCUGGUCUGAGAGGAUGAUCAGCCACAUUGGGACUGAGACACGGCCCAAACUCCUACGGGAGGCAGCAGUGGGGAAUCUUGCGCAAUGGGCGAAAGCCUGACGCAGCCAUGCCGCGUGAAUGAUGAAGGUCUUAGGAUUGUAAAAUUCUUUCACCGGGGACGAUAAUGACGGUACCCGGAGAAGAAGCCCCGGCUAACUUCGUGCCAGCAGCCGCGGUAAUACGAAGGGGGCUAGCGUUGCUCGGAAUUACUGGGCGUAAAGGGAGCGUAGGCGGACUGUUUAGUCAGAGGUGAAAGCCCAGGGCUCAACCUUGGAAUUGCCUUUGAUACUGGCAGUCUUGAGUACGGAAGAGGUAUGUGGAACUCCGAGUGUAGAGGUGAAAUUCGUAGAUAUUC